This 440-nucleotide ribosomal RNA is filed under the name uncultured bacterium. RNAcentral describes it as "partial 16S ribosomal RNA". It matches the Rfam family "Bacterial small subunit ribosomal RNA", at positions 338 to 795 of the family's 1533-position model. The record is from RNAcentral.
CCUACGUGAGGCAGCAGUGGGGGAUAUUGCACAAUGGGGGAAACCCUGAUGCAGCGACGCCGCGUGAGUGAAGAAGUAUUUCGGUAUGUAAAGCUCUAUCAGCAGGGAAGAAAAUGACAGUACCUGACCAAGAAGCCCCGGCUAACUACGUGCCAGCAGCCGCGGUAAUACGUAGGGGGCAAGCGUUAUCCGGAUUUACUGGGUGUAAAGGGAGCGUAGACGGUUAUGUAAGUCUGGAGUGAAAGCCCGGGGCCCAACCCCGGGACUGCUUUGGAAACUGUGUAACUGGAGUACAGGAGGGGCAGGCGGAAUUCCUAGUGUAGCGGUGAAAUGCGUAGAUAUUAGGAGGAACACCAGUGGCGAAGGCGGCUUACUGGACUGUAACUGACGUUGAGGCUCGAAAGCGUGGGGAGCAAACAGGAUUAGAUACCCUUGUAGUC